GGUGAAAGCUGGCGGCGUGCCUAAUACAUGCAAGUCGAGCGAACAGAUGAGGAGCUUGCUCCUCUGACGUUAGCGGCGGACGGGUGAGUAACACGUGGAUAACCUACCUAUAAGACUGGGAUAACUUCGGGAAACCGGAGCUAAUACCGGAUAAUAUAUUGAACCGCAUGGUUCAAUAGUGAAAGACGGUUUUGCUGUCACUUAUAGAUGGAUCCGCGCCGCAUUAGCUAGUUGGUAAGGUAACGGCUUACCAAGGCAACGAUGCGUAGCCGACCUGAGAGGGUGAUCGGCCACACUGGAACUGAGACACGGUCCAGACUCCUACGGGAGGCAGCAGUAGGGAAUCUUCCGCAAUGGGCGAAAGCCUGACGGAGCAACGCCGCGUGAGUGAUGAAGGUCUUCGGAUCGUAAAACUCUGUUAUUAGGGAAGAACAAAUGUGUAAGUAACUAUGCACGUCUUGACGGUACCUAAUCAGAAAGCCACGGCUAACUACGUG
RNAcentral lists this ribosomal RNA (497 nucleotides) under uncultured bacterium. Its description in RNAcentral is "partial 16S ribosomal RNA". It matches the Rfam family "Bacterial small subunit ribosomal RNA", at positions 28 to 507 of the family's 1533-position model. The record is from RNAcentral.